UCCUUAGGCUACAAUUACAGUUACUAUAACAAGAUGGAAAAUUAAGAGGAAACUCUUUUCAAAAUGUGAAUGAUGUGGUGACGAAUUCAUCUCUAACGGAAAGAGAAGAAGAACUAGCGUUAGGAUUCAAAAAGUAUCAAAAGGAUAGGUUUAAACCAAAAAAAAUCCGACUGAAUGUUGUGUGAUUACUGUGUGUUUGUAUUUUGGUGGAAAAUAGGGUUCCAAUUCAACGGGAACAAAGAGGAAUAUAGAAACUAACCAAGUCUAGCGAGCAACUCUUCUAUUGCAUGAUGAAGAAAUGUCAAGAAUGUCUAUAGGAAUUCGUUCCAUAAGCUAUUACAGAGACUGCUCAAGUAAAGAAAUGUCAGAUGAAUUAGAGAAGUUUUUAAAGGACUGGAUACCUGUGGAGGUUAUUGCCUUCAUAUAAAAAUUGAAAAGUUCCUGAAAGUUGUUCAAAGAAAUGUCCGUGAUGGGAAAUCUCUCAAGGGUCUGUUCCCCAAGAUGGUGUUUGUUGUCCCCAUGCAAACCAACAUCAUGGUUGAUUCAAAUUACAGUGUUGACAUGAUAAAAUGCAAUGAUUUAGUUAGUUAAGAGACCAGUCUACAUUUUUGUGCAAAAGUUUUUCCAAGGUGAUUUUAAAGUGUAAUAUAUUUGCUUUUUCGAUGGACACAUGAAUAUUUUUAUUUAGUACAGUAACUAAAUUAUAAAGGCUGCAAAUUACUACACAGACCCUCUAAUUUUAAAUUGUCACCGUACAGUGCAAAUUGACAUG
This is a long non-coding RNA of Daphnia pulicaria, 772 nucleotides long. RefSeq lists it as uncharacterized. The transcript is spliced from 3 exons. The record is from RefSeq and is a predicted model, not a curated record. Lineage: Eukaryota; Metazoa; Arthropoda; Branchiopoda; Diplostraca; Daphniidae.